GAUGAACGCUGGCGGCGUGCUUAACACAUGCAAGUCGAACGAUGAUGCCCAGCUUGCUGGGUGGAUUAGUGGCGAACGGGUGAGAAACACGUGAGUAACCUGCCCUUGACUCUGGGAUAAGCCUGGGAAACUGGGUCUAAUACCGGAUACGACCAUCUGGCGCAUGUCAUGGUGGUGGAAAGCUUUUGUGGUUUUGGAUGGACUCGCGGCCUAUCAGCUUGUUGGUGGGGUAAUGGCCUACCAAGGCGACGACGGGUAGCCGGCCUGAGAGGGUGACCGGCCACACUGGGACUGAGACACGGCCCAGACUCCUACGGGAGGCAGCAGUGGGGAAUAUUGCACAAUGGGCGCAAGCCUGAUGCAGCGACGCCGCGUGAGGGAUGACGGCCUUCGGGUUGUAAACCUCUUUCAGUAGGGAAGAAGCGAAAGUGACGGUACCUGCAGAAGAAGCGCCGGCUAACUACGUG
RNAcentral lists this ribosomal RNA (467 nucleotides) under uncultured bacterium. RNAcentral describes it as "partial 16S ribosomal RNA". It matches the Rfam family "Bacterial small subunit ribosomal RNA", at positions 28 to 507 of the family's 1533-position model. The record is from RNAcentral.